GGUGGGGUGGGUGAGUGGUUAAUACCAGCAGACUGUAAAUCUGCCGCCUUGACUGGCUACGCAGGUUCGAAUCCUGCCCCCACCACCC
RNAcentral lists this transfer RNA (88 nucleotides) under Chloroflexota bacterium. RNAcentral describes it as "Chloroflexi bacterium (freshwater metagenome) tRNA-Tyr". It matches the Rfam family "tRNA". From Rfam's summary of the family: Transfer RNA (tRNA) molecules are approximately 80 nucleotides in length. Lineage: Bacteria; Bacillati; Chloroflexota. The record is from RNAcentral.